AUUGAACGCUGGCGGCAUGCUUUACACAUGCAAGUCGAACGGUAACAGGGAGCUUGCUCCGCUGACGAGUGGCGAACGGGUGAGUAAUGCGUCGGAACGUGCCGAGUAGUGGGGGAUAACGCAUCGAAAGGUGUGCUAAUACCGCAUACGUACUGAGGUAGAAAGUGGGGGACCUUCGGGCCUCACGCUAUUCGAGCGGCCGACGUCUGAUUAGCUAGUUGGUGAGGUAAAGGCUCACCCAAGGCGACGAUCAGUAGCGGGUCUGAGAGGAUGAUCAGCCACACUGGGACUGAGACACGGCCCAGACUCCUACGGGAGGCAGCAGUGGGGAAUAUUGGACAAUGGGCGCAAGCCUGAUCCAGCCAUGCCGCGUGAGUGAUGAAGGCCCUAGGGUGUAAAGCUCUUUCGGCGGGGAAGAUAAUGACGGUACCCGCACGAAGAAGCCCCGGGCUAACUUCGUGCCAGCAGCCGCGGU
This 475-nucleotide ribosomal RNA is filed under the name uncultured bacterium. RNAcentral describes it as "bacterial SSU rRNA". It matches the Rfam family "Bacterial small subunit ribosomal RNA", at positions 29 to 521 of the family's 1533-position model. The record is from RNAcentral.